This is a long non-coding RNA of Armigeres subalbatus, 729 nucleotides long. RefSeq lists it as uncharacterized. Lineage: Eukaryota; Metazoa; Arthropoda; Insecta; Diptera; Culicidae. The transcript has 3 exons. The record is from RefSeq and is a predicted model, not a curated record.
CGGAACAACUGGCCAAAAGGACGGAUAGUAUCAGUGAAGACUUCGAAAGACGGUCAAGUUCGCUCUGCAGUUGUACAGACCGCCAAUGGAUUCUUCGAAAGGCCUGCGGUGAAGAUAGCAGUUCUAGACGUAGGUGCGUACGGAAGUAAGCCGGACCAAGGUACGACCACUGGGGGGGACUGUUGUUUACGCCCUUUGCGUAACACGGCACCUACGAAAAAGCUGCGCUGAACGCACAUCUUCGACAACAAGCUCCAGAUGACGUGGCGAUGACGGUUGAUUGAAGUGUCACUUGCGAUACUUCGUCAACAGGUGCUGUGUCUAAUGCUCAAUGUAUCAGAUGAAAGAUCAGUUCACAAUAUAGCAACGUAAAUCUAUUAGUUAUUAUUAAAUUAAGAAGCGUGUACUAAGUUUAUACCGAUUACAAAACGGAUUAACAUUGUCGGUGCAUACCGCAGUGGUUAGCCUGUGUGCAGAAGUCGAACGCUAAUAACAAUAACUCAUAUCGAAUUGUACCAGUCAAGACAUCAGUUAUUAGAAAUAUAUCCCAUUAUAUUACGGAUGAUCAGAUUAGCCAACACGAAAAAGUAGGAAGCUUACAAACGUAAGUACACACAGUCAAACUGUAUAUUAGAAAUAAUAAUCGAUCAUGUUCUACAGGAAAUUUUUAAUCGAUCCGUCAAAUAAAUUGAUUAAAACUACGGAAAAACGCUUUCUUAGUUGCAUUCG